Long non-coding RNA from Capsicum annuum, 666 nucleotides. RefSeq lists it as uncharacterized. NCBI's taxonomy places the organism in Eukaryota, Viridiplantae, Streptophyta, Magnoliopsida, Solanales, Solanaceae. The transcript is spliced from 3 exons. The record is from RefSeq and is a predicted model, not a curated record.
GUUCAAUAAAUUGGCCCAUACCCGUUCCUUCAGACAUAUGAAAACAAAAUGUAGGGUUUCAUAAAGUUAAAGCUUUCCAUUUCCUCUGUUUGCUCUCAACCACAGGUGAAACAAGACGUCUGCGCCACUUCUGAAUUGCCAAGAUACUGAGGUUGCUACUUUGGGUCAUCAACUGCUUGACCUUGAAUUGCUCCUCCGCCUUGAUAUUCAGCUCUCAGAAUUGAGUUCUCUGGUGGAUGGGAUUUGUUAUGUUUUUUUGUGCUAAAUCGAAGGUUCUAGACCCCUAGUCCAUCUUGCAUGUCCAUGUUUGGAAGGGAUAGAGAUUUUGGGAUGCUCGGACCCAUGAAAACUUGUACAUGAUGCUGUCGCCCAGGUGUACUCAUAGCAUAAGAAUCCAAUGACCCUCUCACUUUAUUAAGAGUCCAUUUUGAUGGCAGAAGUUCUAUAGCCUAGCAACAUUUUCCUCUUUUUAGUGCUAUUAGAGUAUGUAAGUAUUGACUGUGAUGAAUGCUCUUUGUAAAUGCUAUAGCCUUCAACCGCCUUCUCUUCUUUCAUCCUUUCCUUGCUGUAAUUCAGAUGUAAGGACAUUGUAAUUUGUCACUAUUUAAGAUGCUCCUUGCUUUGCUGUCUAGUUGUUGAAAAGAAGUAAACUUGAAUUCACCUCCA